This is a non-coding RNA of Podarcis lilfordi (Lilford's wall lizard), 69 nucleotides long. The record is from the annotation of a GenBank genome assembly. Lineage: Eukaryota; Metazoa; Chordata; Lepidosauria; Squamata; Lacertidae.
GUAUAGCUCAGUUGGUAGAACAUGAGACUGUUAAUCUCAGAGUUGUAGGCUUGAGCCCCACAUUAGGCA